Molecule: transfer RNA, 74 nt
Filed under: Phyllopezus heuteri
Lineage: Eukaryota; Metazoa; Chordata; Lepidosauria; Squamata; Phyllodactylidae
Description: tRNA-Gln
Rfam family: tRNA
About the family: Transfer RNA (tRNA) molecules are approximately 80 nucleotides in length. Their secondary structure includes four short double-helical elements and three loops (D, anti-codon, and T loops).
Source: RNAcentral
UAGAGGGUAGUAUACGGUUGGAAGUACAUAAAAUUUUGAAUUUUGCAGUGCGGGUUCGAGUCCCGGGCCUCUAA